UAAUAAUAAUAAUAAUAAUUAAUAAUAAUAAUACAAUUUCCUCAGUGCUUUCAUUUCUUUCCUGGCUGUGCUCAUAACUAUUGCUGGUGUGCUCCUGAAUGAAUAUAUAUUUCUCUCUCUUUUGAAUUUUAAGACCAAGCCUGUCAGUUAGCUUAUUCAGUUAAAGUCAGUUCAACUAGUAAUCUGGAACUUCAUGCUGAAGGAGUCAAAUGCAUUGUGUGAAGGAAAUAUGGGGGGUAUUAUGCGAUAUUUGAGGGCUCCAUGUCCUUCACCGGUCUCACUUGAGGCAGCUGAGGAAUGGAAGAGGGAGCGGGGAGAUAUACUGAAAGGAAAAAGGUGUCUGUUUUAAACCAUGGCUGAAGUUUGAGUAAAGCAGGGAGAGGCCAAAGUCGCCUACUCCUGCGGAUUCAAUGUGCAGGGUUCAACUACGCCAGUCAUAGGAGCCAACUCCUAGGGGCUGAGGGGGCUUCGCCCCCCCCAAUAAAAUAUUGGGGGGGGGAUUGCCAUUCAAAUGGUGUGCGCACACCAUGGCAUGUGAUCAAUUGUGAAGGGUGGGGCUUACCUGCCCCUCCCAUAUUUUUUCAAGUUUGCACCCCUGACUCCAAUUUUCAUUUGAAUGGGGAAAACAUGGAUUAACAGCUAACUGAUGCUCAAAUGUGGGCAGCCAACCCUGAAUGUCAACACUGACCUUAUCACUACAAUAGCCACCCUAAUUUUUGUAUUCUUUUUGUGCUUUAUUUUCCUUCAACCCCAUGGCUUCUUGCUUUGUGUAACACCUUGGCCAAUGAAAAAUUCUGAAGACCUCAAAAGCUUACAACAGUUUUGUGAUGUCUUGGUUGGUCAUAAUAAAGUCCAUACAGGGAUCAAGUUCUGUCCCAGCUAACACACCAUGACUCUGUAGUAAAAUUUUUUGCCCAACUGUGGCUUUUGGAAUAAUAACAAUAGACUCACAUAUGAGAUAUUGCACAAAUCACUAUAUGCCACUCUCACCCUCUUCACCUUGUUCCCUUAAUUCCAGACAAAACCCCAAUAGAUUACAACCAAAGAAAUUUAAAUCAGGCUCCAUGCGGUGGACUUUUAAACCUGCUUUGAAAAUUAGGUUAGCAAAAACCUAAAAAGGAAGAAAAAUGGUCCAAGUGAAGCUUAACAGGUCUGAUUUCAAUAAUGUCAAACCCUGAAUUUUAUGUAGCAUGUGUAGGGAGGGGGGAUUAAGAAGAAAACAGAACAGAAUGAAAUGAAAUUGAGAUGAAGGGAAAGCGAGACUAUGAAUUCAUGACUUUUAAAAAUUAUGUCUCUCUUUCCCAUCCCCCAGUGCAGGAGACUCUAUAGCAAAAUAUAAUGAAUCAGCAUUUGUUCCCCAUUCAUUUCUCAGGCAAGGGAAAGCAGCGGAGGGCAACAUUCAGAAUGAGGUCUGGUUAAGUUUCAUGUAAGGGAAUUCCUGUGUGAAUGGCCUUUGUGUUGGCUUCACACCUGCUGAGCUAGGAGAAGCAUAAGAGCUCCUUUCAUUGCUCUAGUUAAAGCCUGUCACAAGGAUGACAUCAUUGCUCCCACAGACAUUUUAAUGUGGGGCUCUGGAGCCAGCCUUUCAAAAUGCUUGACAGAUCAGAAUUUGAACAUCUUAAAAACAAAAAAGCAAACCCAAUUGUGUUUGGCUAGCGUGCAAGAGCCAGCACAGUUAAGUUACAGGGCUGGUUUGGGGAAUUGUGCUUCGAGAGGGCAGGGGCUAAACAAACUUUCCCAUGUUGUUUUUAGACAGUGAUGGGGUCCGUGGUGAAAAGUGGCUUUUAUGCUCGCCUGAGUCUUGGUUAAAUAUCUCAGAUACCACUAGAGCUUGAGUCUCAAUGACAGGGAAUGCCUGACUUUGGCUUGUUCUCAAAUCCUCAGACAAAGGACACCACAGAUGGCCAUAGUGGGUGUGAGUAGAUAGAUUAAGCAAAGAAAGAAAAAAAUCAUUAAGUGAGACUUAUGAAUACAGCAGAGGGUUUUAUUACCGCAUGCCUUGAGAGGUCUUUGUUCACUGUUGUGUCUGCAAAUAUGAAAAUCAGGAGGAAGAUUUGGAGGAUGGCACGAAAACAUUCACACAUUUCUCUUGAAUUUCAGGUGAGGCUUCAGCCAUGCAUUCAAUUUUAUGCAUGCUGGCAAUAUGAGGUUUUGAAAAAACUAGCACUUUUAAAGUCAAUUUGGAAGUGAUUUAAGCAACAGCCAAAAUGACAUGUGGAGAAAGAUGAAAUUUAGGGGCGGCGGGGAGUAUAUGAAACAUUUGACCCUGCUAUCCUUGCAAAGUGGCAAGUUGUGCUACAAAUGAAAAUCUGCUGUCCCAAAUUUGAAAAUUAUCGAGAGGAGAGAAAAUUUCUGAGGAAUUCUCAUGGUUUUUGUUGCGUUUAACUUUUUGUGAGCCUCCUUCCUUUCAUCCUCUGAGUCAUCUCUCUUGUAGUCUGCAUUCUACAGCCUCACCAUCUGCUCACAAAUCCUGAAAACUCCAUGACGUUGGAAGGUAGGAAUACUGCCUGCAAUGUGCUUGCCAGCUGUUCAUUGUUGAUUUUUAAAGUGAAGUAUUCUUAGUUUGAAAUAAAUCAAUAGAAAAGUUUUUUUGUUUGAUUUUUUAAAAUUCCCUUCAAAACAAAAUUGGUGACUGCACGGGUGUCAAGCACUUGAUUCCAGCCUCCUUCACUUCCUGAACUUCCACUAAAGUCCAGACGAUGGCAUCAUGGAAGCAUGCACAGCCUGCAGAGGAUUGGCAAAAAGUUUAAUGGAAAGAAAAAUAUGCAGUCCACUCUUGGUCAUCUCAUAACUUUAAGGAGAUCUUGGAGUCUUCUUGGACCCUGAUGGCAACAGUGGUUCUGUUAAACUACAAACCACCUGAAAGAGUCUCCUGAUGCUGUUUUCCGCAGAUGCAACAGAGGCAGUGAGGAAGGUCCUCUUCACUUUUGCUAUCACCACUUGGAAACCUACCAUAGAGGAUUCUCGUUUUGGCCACUUCCAGAAACAUUUCCAGGCUACGUGAGCUGUAAAAGAAUUUGGCAGCUCUGCAUUCUAAGCAACAGCAGAAUGAGAAGUCCGUUUCCCAAUAGGACAUUUUGCUUGGACCCAGCCCAAAGACGUAGAUUCCACUCCAACAUCUCUCUUUCCAUUGGAAAAGUUCAUACUCAGACAAUGUGGCUGAGACCCAUGCCUAAUUGAAACUGUCCAAGCUCAGUUGUUUACAUUUUCUUUUGAGUAAGGGAGCAUGUGUUGCAAGACACCCCCCUCCCCAGAACUUGCGGGGGGGGGUAAGGGGGAGGGAGAAAAACACUAAAA
Non-coding RNA from Podarcis muralis (Common wall lizard), 3297 nucleotides. Lineage: Eukaryota; Metazoa; Chordata; Lepidosauria; Squamata; Lacertidae. The record is from RefSeq and is a predicted model, not a curated record.